Panicum virgatum (switchgrass) is the source of this 1666-nucleotide long non-coding RNA. RefSeq lists it as uncharacterized. The transcript has 5 exons. The record is from RefSeq and is a predicted model, not a curated record. Lineage: Eukaryota; Viridiplantae; Streptophyta; Magnoliopsida; Poales; Poaceae.
UGCAGCUCCAUCGGGAGGGGGAGAUGAUGGUGAUGAGUAGGUGCCACCUGUUCAGGAGAAUGUCCCUCCACCCAGUCCUACCGUGAGUGCGGCAGAAAUGCAUAAGCGUAAGGCAGCCACCACCAAAGGAAGUAACAGGCAUGUAUGGUGAAAAGUGUAACACUUUCAAUUGUGGAAAAGCAUAUCCACUUCUUAGUGUCAAUUUUGCUUGCUCUCCUUAGCCCCCGGCCAGAAAAGCAUGGACGGGAAUCGUCACCGCCCUCCACAGCUAGUCCUUCUCUGUCAAGGCCAUCAUCACCAGCGGGUACUAUUGGUGCCACUACCCAGCAAGUUGAUGUGCUGGCGAAGCCCAAGGUCAAGGAGCCGAGUGCUGCAGGGGUGAUUCCGCCCCUAAAAGUGCUGAGACCUAAGAAGCUCCCCAUAAAGAAGUCGACCAGCAAAGCAGUCGAUCUUGGGUUGGGUGGUCUUGGGCAACCUGGCCCUGCCCCAACCCCCGGCCGAAGACUUCAGAAACCACGCCUGGAGCUGCCUCAGGCCAAUCUGCAGGAUCCGCGGAGGUGGCCCCCGAAGCUGAAUCAGAGAAGCAGAAGGGGAUUGAGGCUGCUGCCCCACCCGUGGGUGCGGAUUCCCUGCCAGCUCCAGGAGAGGAUAAGGACACCAGCAUCAUCCUCCAUGAUUCCACUGUGCUUCCAUAAGUCGAGCAAGCGGUUCUUGGAAAACAACAAGAGUUGCUAAUGCUACCGGCCAAAGAAGCGACAUCUUAUAAGGAGGAAAUACUCAAGAGCCAACAAUUUCUAAGUGAAAUUGCCGAACAAGCUGUCGCUAGAGCUCAAGGACUCCUCCAAGCUGGAGAAGAUCUACAAUUAUCCACAGACCAAGGACUUCAAUUCCAAGAAAUUGCAGAUCUUCGAGGAGAGAUGGAGAGAGUGAAGGCAGAGAGUGCUGGGCAGAUUGAUCGCCUGCAAGGGAAGAACAAGACUCUGCAGGAGAAAAAUAAGAAUUUGGCGAAGAGUCACAAAGAACUCAAAAAUUUGUUAGUAACAAAAGAAGAUCUGGUGACUGAGUUGAUGAAUCUUGUGUACCGUCACACAGAUGAAGUGGAGAAGCUGUCCAAGAUCCAGGCUAACAGCGACACUUGUCGAUUGCAUGCAAAAGAUCAAGGACUUGGCAGCUGAAAGGGAUUCCCAGGCUAAGGAACUAGCCGACAUCAAGAUAGCAACGCAGGCGGUAGUCGACAUGGUGGAUCCAAUCGAAGAUGGAGCUGCUGGAGAAAAGUCUUUGAUGGAGCGACUACAUGGCGCCCCCCAGAAGAUUGCCAGCUAUCUGUCAGAGACCUCCAAGCAAUAUAUGGCGCAUGUCUUGGGGUUGGUGAGGUCCUACUGGCCUGUGGCGAACUUAACUCCACUUGGCGAUGGGCUAGCAGCAGGUUGCUCAAAGGAGCAAUUUGCUCAAUAUGUCGAAGAAGUUAAGCCCAUUGCUGACAAAGUUGUAGAUAGUUUGGAGCAGCCAGCAGAGGGUGAAGCUUGAACUUGUUUUUGUCCUAUGUAUGAAUUGUGCUACUCGUGACCCGUGAAUGUUUGUAAAAGUUACUUUGCCUUUGUGUCUGCGAUCACUUUAUGUCACUCCCUGUGCUCUGUCCAACUUUCUUGUUGUCGCAUAGUGUAAA